Molecule: long non-coding RNA, 1318 nt
Filed under: Canis lupus familiaris (dog)
Lineage: Eukaryota; Metazoa; Chordata; Mammalia; Carnivora; Canidae
Description: lncRNA (ENSCAFG00040021804.1)
Source: RNAcentral
AUCCAUUCGGCAUGACUAUACGGAUGGACGUUUUACACACCAGCAGAAACCUGUAUCUCCUAAUGGUACAGUAAGGGCUGAGUGCAGAGGGAAAGUCCCGUGCAUUUCCUAUGUUAAAUGGCACAACUCCCACAGAUCACAUACACCUUGCCAUAUUGACGCAGUUCAUUGCGCUCCAUAUCCUGCAAAAAUAAAUCUAGUGCUCGACAGCUGACAUUAUUGCUCACCAACGUUUUAGUAAUAUAUUUCUUUAACAUAAGACAGAAAUAUACUGAAAGUUGAUACCACUUAAACUCAAAAGCAAUCUGGAAUUAAACCACAUGCAUAUACCCUGCUUUUUUUUUUUUUUUUUUUCAAUGGAUGUUGCAUUUUUCUUAAAGCUGAUGCCGGAAAAUGUGGUAGGAGGAAAAACUGGCUUUCCUUGAAACAAAGACAAAGGAUUAGAAAUGAAGUGGGUUUUUUUUUUUUUGUUUUUUUUGUUUUUUUGUGUUUUUUGAGGGAAAUGUUAAGCCCUAUAAUAAAAACGAGAGAACAAUGAGAGUCUGGAAUCUCUGGGAAGAGGGAAGGAGCUCCUCAUUCAUCUUCCUUGUCUACCCCAACACGGUGGCUCGUGUCCAGGACACCCCGGGGCAGAAGCUGGAGCAAUGCGAGAAGUGCUGUGUGGCCCAAAGGACAGAUGUACGUAUGCUGUGUCAGGGAAGUCUCUGGAGACUUCCUUCGUUAGUGGAUCCCACACUGGAUCCUCGGGUCUCUGGGAAAUGAUGGGGCUAGAGGUACAAGGCUUGGGAGCUGGGAAAUGAGGAGCAUAACUUACCGGCAUUGUGAGGUGAGAGCAUUCGUGACUUUUCAUUUUAACUUCUCGUUGUUUCUCAUUGUCAAGUGUCCCUCUUUCUUAUUUUUGUCUUGGUGCUUACAAGGAAAGACGUCAGUUUUCAUAAGCUUUCAAAGAUUUACAAUAUUUUUUAAAAACUGCCUUUCAGGAUUAGCAUUCAAGGCCUCAAACACCAUAUCUAUCAAUCAUAAACCGUACCCUCAAACCCAGCUCUGGCGAUAUCAUCUUAAAUCACUGCAGGUCCUACCUGUGGAAACCUUAUUGUGCACAGUGACAGCCGUUCCACGUUCCACAGGGCCAAGUGUUACACAGCAACUGAGCGGAGCUCCGCAGAGUAAAACCAGCCAUAUUGCUACAAAGAAAAAUUUCUGGCUCGUGGCCCAACUGUUUCCAUACCAAUCAGCUAAGUCAACCUUCUCUCUGCUUCUUUCCAUUUCAAAUGCUUGGGCUUCAGCCUCUGAGGCAAUUAGAACCAGAUCAGUUUAA